Physcomitrium patens is the source of this 2522-nucleotide RNA transcript. It is a transcript of the gene named transmembrane and coiled-coil domain-containing protein STS1, with no coding region annotated. NCBI's taxonomy places the organism in Eukaryota, Viridiplantae, Streptophyta, Bryopsida, Funariales, Funariaceae. The record is from RefSeq and is a predicted model, not a curated record.
GUGGAGUGCGAAGACAUGGCAAGAAAUCCAUCACACAGAAGAAGAGCAAUAGGGUAUAAAUCAGGGGAAUUGCAACAGCAAUUCCUGCUGCAAUGCAAUGCAUUUUCGGUUGCGGACGUGAAUCCCACGUUCGGGAGGAGUGGGGACGGGGUGGUGGGGGUCAGCGGGCUUUUUCUGACUCGGGCUCUCGAGCGGAGGGCGAAAUUGGGCUCAGUCUCUGUCUUGGGCAGUUGUAGUGGGCGAUUGCGAGAACGGAAGCCGAUACGCAUUUGUCCGAAUUGCGCGUCUCGUUCGUGUUGGGAUGGUGAAACAGGGUUUUGGACUCGAGUGUGGGGAUUGUUAGCGAUGGCGGAGUUGGGUAGCGUGCAUCGGUACGCUGCGGGUGGGCUUUUCGCUCUAGCUUUGAGUCAGGCUCAAAUUCAGCCGCGAGCUCCUCUCGAACACCCAUCCGUCGGUGGUUCCGAUGACCAUCCGCAGCCCAGGACUCCCUUCCUCGACGCGGAGGAGGUUUCAUGGUGCGAUCCGGAUCAUGGGUUGCUGCGCCACGUUUUCAGGUUCUUAGGAAUAGAUGAGAAAGCAUGGAUUGGACUUGAGAUGACGGCUAUGUCUCCCGACAGCAAACACCAAAUUGGAGCCUUUCUGAGAUUGUUGGCAGAAGAUGAGAGUGAACCUUCAUCAAGUGGUGAAAGUCGACGGAUGAUGGAAUCUGCUGCAAGUUCUGAUGGAGUUGGAACCCUUCGUCGUCAUGAAGAUUCUUCGGUGGUCAAUGUCAAGGGAAAGGAUAGGGCUCAGGAAUUUGAAGAGUCCUCCGAAUAUUAUAGCAGGUUCAGUGAAGCUGAGAUUAUGACGAAGCAACGGAAGAUAGAAAUUAUGCACGAGCUGGUGAUGGCGUGCGUCUCUGGCUUUCCUAACGGUAAAGGACUGAAGGUUACGAAGUAUGGGUAUGAUGCACGCCAACGUGUGGCUCUGCGUUUGCUUGCUCUCUGGCUUAACAUUAAAUGGAGCAAAGUGGUGAGCUUGGAGUUAAUGGUAGCUCAUACGGCCAUGGAUGCUCAUAAGAAGAGAGAGCAAACCCAUAAUGACGAUGAAGAAGUUGCAAAAAGCAGGUGGCAGAGACUGAAAAGAGGAAGUUUAAUUGGUGGGGCUGCGGUUACUGGAGGAGUCCUUUUGGCAAUUACUGGUGGACUAGCAGCUCCGGCAAUAGCAGCAGGUAUGGCCGCUGUUGGAACAGCAGUACCUGCACUUGGAGCUGGUGGCCUUGCAGCAGCUGCUGCACUGGCGGGUUCCACAAUGGGCUCUUUGGCCGUGGCAGCUUCGUUUGGAGCUGCUGGAGCUGGCCUGACUGGUUUUAAGAUGGCUCGAAGAACUGGUGGAAUUGAGGAAUUUCAGUUUGUGCCAAUUGGUGAUAAUCACCAGCAGGGAAGGCUAGCUGUUGCGGUUCUCGCUUCCGGUAUUGUUUUCGAUCUGUAUGAUUAUAUUGAACCAUGGGAAGCACCGGACGGAGACUUAGAAAGGUAUGCUCUUCAAUGGGAGUCUGAACAUCUUCUAGCAGUCAGCACAGCCAUAGAAGACUGGCUCACUUCCAAUGUGGCGAUUCAGCUGAUGUCGCGGGGAGCAAUGUAUACUGUUCUUGGCGGCCUCGUUGCUGCUCUAGCAUGGCCUGCCACAUUGCUUAGUGCCACCGAUUUCAUUGACAGCAAGUGGACGAUUGCUGUUGACAGGUCCGACAAAGUCGGCAAGUUAUUGGCGAAAGUUUUACUGAAAGGUGCUCAAGGAAACAGGCCAGUGACGCUCAUUGGAUUUUCACUGGGUGCCCGGGUUAUUUUUGCGUGUUUGGAAGAGUUAGCAAAGGAAGGAAACCAAGGUGGAAUUGUCGAGCGCGUGGUACUCCUUGGGGCUCCCCUCAUUCUCAAUAAACCUCGGUGGGAGAAAGCACGGCAGGUUGUUGCAGGACGAUUCAUAAAUGCUUAUUCCACCAGCGAUUGGAUGCUUGGUGUAGUGUACAGAGCCAAGUAAUUUUCGACCCUUGACUGAGGCAUUUUGAUUUUUCUCUCUCAGGGACUAGCAGGACUUCAAGCUGUCGACGUACCUGGCAUCGAAAAUGUGGAUGUGACGGAUCUGGUGAACGGUCACUCCUCUUAUUUGAAGAAAGCUGGUGAUAUUGUACAGGCCCUUGAUAUCGAUAGCUUCUAUCCAACCCACAACUGUAAGCUACAGUAGUCGGUUUAUUUUUGAUAGAUGAUAUGCAAUUCGUUUGCAGCCUGAACUUUCGAUGAUAGGUGUGGGCACCAUUGAUUUACAGUGCUAGCUGCUACUUGUUCUGAUGUCGUGAAGGUCUGCACUCGAUUAUUGGACUCGGAUUACAGAGUUCCUAUGUCGAAUCUAGUUACAAACAUUACUUCCAUGAAAUUCAUUAUUGUCACAUGAUACAACUACGCCGUUUAUGUAAAUAGCCUCUCUUCCACAGGCUACUAAUAACAAGUUAGGCCAUAAUUUGGUCUACGUACUUUUCCUGCGAAAAA